This 546-nucleotide long non-coding RNA is filed under the name Homo sapiens (human). RNAcentral's name for it is "HSALNT0097821". The record is from RNAcentral. Lineage: Eukaryota; Metazoa; Chordata; Mammalia; Primates; Hominidae.
AGAUCUUACAGCUGAAUGGAGGUCCUUUCCCAAAAUGGGAAGGGCUGGGGGUGGGGGUGCCAUUUAGGGUAAUAUCAAGAAUCUGUGACCAGCAAUGGCAAGGGUGUCUGGUUUCAAAUGCCGACUCCAGAGCCGAUGUCAUGGAACAGUGUUUAAUGCUGUGGAAGAGGACAAGCCCAUCUAGGGAGUCGAUGCAGGGUAAACAAGAGACGAUGGAGUCGCCCAUAUUUAAAGUCUCUUAAGAGAAGAAACGGGUUCAUUUUAAGCCCUAGGGGAGGUUCUCUGUUCUCCAACCCUUCCUCCCCCACCCCUUCUUUCCCUAGAGGCUUCCUCAGCCCCAAAGACCACAGAGAAUGAAUGACAUCAUCUGAGCUCAGACCUCGCUGGGCCCAAUUAUCAGGCUAUAAGUGGAAGCGCCCUACAUUUUCCCACAGGAAAGUGCCCUCCCACACUCCCGACUUGCUGCUCCUGGGGACCUUGGCAGAGUCCACAGGCUCUGGCCUGAAGAAAACCGAGCCCCUUCCCCAUGGGCACACUGUUCAGGUC